GUGACAUAUAAAACCAUACAACAUGUUUCAUGGAAAAUCACACGCUCUCAACAUCUAGCAGAAUGUGGUCUAUAAUAUUAAAUUAAUCACAAGUUAUUAGUUCCCAGACUAAUAUGGAACAUUCUUGGGAAGGUUUCUAAUAACAUUAUUCUUCAACCCAAUUUUGGUACGCAUGGUCUCCACACCUGAUCGAUUCAUUUCCUUCAUCACUUUCAUCCUCACUAUCUGCUCUUUUGACUGCAAAGUGGCCAAUCCCAUGCUUCUGUACCUAGAGGCCAGUGCAGCUGUAAUGGCCCCGCUAUUGGCAGGUGAAGGAUGUGGUUUCUGGCGAUAAUAGCGCAAAAAUUCCCGAGAGCCAAGGGUUUUUGAUGAUAUUUUAUUAUCAGAACUUGUGGUUAUGAUGAGCUCUGAACCACCACUCCCAAGUUCCACAGUGUUGGCCAUAUCACCCGAGGUAGUCAGCUGUUUCCCAUCCUCGUCCACAUAACUGCUGCUAUAAUCAUAGAAUUCUUCUAACUCCACUUCUUCAUCAUCAUCACCAUCACCAUAAUGUACUUUACAAUGACUUUUAGCUACCAUAUGUUUCCUAACUGCUUCUAAGCUGUUAAAAGGAUGGCAUCUAUCAUUGCAGUACAAACA
Molecule: unclassified non-coding RNA, 639 nt
Filed under: Hevea brasiliensis (rubber tree)
Lineage: Eukaryota; Viridiplantae; Streptophyta; Magnoliopsida; Malpighiales; Euphorbiaceae
Source: RNAcentral